UUCAAUAUAUAUAGUUUGUUAUGGUUGAUAUUCUUAUUCAUUGCUCACUUUGUUUUGACAGGAUUUAUGUACACUGAAAAUCUGAGACUGGAAUUGUUUAGAAUUCUAUAUUUAUGAAAGAAGCUCUUGAUUCCCAAUUAUGAUUUUAGAUGAUGAUGUGCCACAGCUGCAAAGAAAGCCUCUGUUUUGGAAGACUGACUGGAGUUUCAUUAAAUGCCCAGUUUCUACAAGUUUUAUGCUCUACUAAAUUCUUCAGGCCUUUUGUGUACUGAGAAUCUAAGAGUGGAGUCAUAUGUGCAUAGAUUGUUCCAAAGAAAUUAUUCAGCAAAUGGUGUGGUGUGCAUAAGAUACUUGAAUCAGUUUUUAUCAUACACUGAUUUAUACCAUCAACGAUCGCGAAUCUGACUUCCCUAUUAGAGUAAUGGCAGACAUUGUUAUGCACUCAGCUACCAAGUUCAUUGCUCGGCACAGUAAUGUGAUGGUAGGUGUACUGGCUGUAAGAGGGGAAAGGUUAUGCAUGGACUUUCUUUACUGUGAACUGUAAUGUUAUAAUUUAUAACUUCAGGCACUUAUUAUAAUUUUUUUUUCAGAUUAGCAAAAGAGUUGUACUUUCUACAAAAUGCAGAAGGGUCUGGGUUGGCUCCAUUUGAUUGUUGGCUCUGCUUUACGAAUUGAGAAGCAGCAGGGAGUGUGAAGUCUCUCAUAAGCCUACCCUGCUUCAUGUCUCAUGCUAGCAUACCAACUGAAAAAGGUUGAAUAAAACAGAAAAACAUUUAUACUCUACUGUCACAAAAAUGUACAAGACUAUUUCUGGAUGAGUUCUUUUUUCUAACUUUAUUUUUAGUUUUAUUGCAGAAAUUGGGCUAAACCUUAUAUUAAAGAUGCUAAAGAAGUUUCCAGGUGCAUUUUUAUUUUAUUGUUUUUCUUUAUGAUUUUGUUGUAUAAGAAGUCAAAGUGUGAUUCUGUUUUUAUUCUUUAAUUUUUUUGGGGAUAUAUUGACAGAAUUUAGAGUUCUGAAAUCAAUUCUUCCUCACAUACUUUUUGAUCAUUGAGAAUGAUAUAUUUGUUAUCUUGAUAAAUUUCACAAGCCUUGUUUUAAGUUGCAUGUUUUGUUGCUUCAGUCGUUGUUUUGCAUGGUAGUACAUCGUGCUAUACCCUGCUAUUUCGUCAAGUUUUGGAGUUAUUACAAAUUUAAUUUAAACUUUAUAUGCUUACAGGUGGAAACUAGCUUAAGUCUUAUGUUCUUAAUAAUAAAAGGACUUUUUUUUUUUUACAAUGUGCAAGUAUAUUGAUAUGAUUUCUGUGGAGCAAUUCUUGACAACAUUUGUAGUUGAGGCCUUUAGAAUGAAAGAAUGUAUUUCACUAAUUUUUGUAUACAUUUCUUGUUUUGUAUUUAGUGAUAAAGGAAUCUGAUUUGGGCAUAAAUUAUGUUGUAAUAUGAUUUCUUAAGCCUAGACUAGUAGACUAAAUAUUGUAAUUACAUUUGAGUAAUUAAUAAAAAUCUAUUUAUGUUA
Molecule: long non-coding RNA, 1514 nt
Organism: Humulus lupulus (European hop)
Lineage: Eukaryota; Viridiplantae; Streptophyta; Magnoliopsida; Rosales; Cannabaceae
Exons: 4
Source: RefSeq, a predicted model, not a curated record